Papio anubis (olive baboon) is the source of this 148-nucleotide unclassified non-coding RNA. It matches the Rfam family "Metazoan signal recognition particle RNA". Rfam says of the family: The signal recognition particle (SRP) is a universally conserved ribonucleoprotein. It is involved in the co-translational targeting of proteins to membranes. The eukaryotic SRP consists of a 300-nucleotide 7S RNA and six proteins: SRPs 72, 68, 54, 19, 14, and 9. The record is from Ensembl. Lineage: Eukaryota; Metazoa; Chordata; Mammalia; Primates; Cercopithecidae.
GCCAGGCGUGGUGGUGCACGCCUGUAAUCCCAGCUACUUGGGAGGCUGAGGCAGGAGAAUCGCUUGAACCCAGGAGGCAGAGGUUGCAGUGAGCCGAGAUCACACCACUGCACUCCAGCCUGGGUGAGAAAGCGAGACUCCUUCUCAA